GCCUCAUAGAGGGGAAUAGCCUUCCGAAAGGGAGAUUAAUACCGCAUAAGAUUGUAGUACCGCAUGGUACAGCAAUUAAAGGAGCAAUCCGCUAUGAGAUGGGCCCGCGGCGCAUUAGCUAGUUGGUGAGGUAACGGCUCACCAAGGCGACGAUGCGUAGCCGACCUGAGAGGGUGAUCGGCCACAUUGGGACUGAGACACGGCCCAGACUCCUACGGGAGGCAGCAGUGGGGAAUAUUGCACAAUGGGGGAAACCCUGAUGCAGCAACGCCGCGUGAGUGAUGACGGCCUUCGGGUUGUAAAGCUCUGUCUUCAGGGACGAUAAUGACGGUACCUGAGGAGGAAGCCACGGCUAACUACGUGCCAGCAGCCGCGGUAAUACGUAGGUGGCGAGCGUUGUCCGGAUUUACUGGGCGUAAAGGGAGCGUAGGCGGAUUUUUAAGUGAGAUGUGAAAUACUCGGGCUUAACCUGAGUGCUGCAUUUCAA
Molecule: ribosomal RNA, 487 nt
Filed under: uncultured Clostridium sp.
Lineage: Bacteria; Bacillati; Bacillota; Clostridia; Eubacteriales; Clostridiaceae
Description: bacterial SSU rRNA
Rfam family: Bacterial small subunit ribosomal RNA
Source: RNAcentral